This is a long non-coding RNA of Micropterus dolomieu (smallmouth bass), 1352 nucleotides long. RefSeq lists it as uncharacterized. The record is from RefSeq and is a predicted model, not a curated record. The transcript is spliced from 5 exons. NCBI's taxonomy places the organism in Eukaryota, Metazoa, Chordata, Actinopteri, Centrarchiformes, Centrarchidae.
GUGGUGCUGCGGAGAGCCCCCAGCUGCAGUACUGCAUGGAUCGUGCCUAAUGUCCAGCCAGACGGAACGAUUAUGAACUGUUUACAGCGCGUCGGCCGUACUAGCGACACAACCCGUACCGGAGAGGGAGUGGGGAGGAAUGGUCCGUUCUGUGUGUGCACUGAAAAUAAAUCUGGUGUUUGUACUUAGCCCUGACUCUGUAAAUGGGGACCAAACAAAGGGGCUCGGACCCCGAUAGACAACACUAUUCCAGCGAUGAUUUGUGUGUCAGGGGCCGUUACUCUGGUCCAUAAAUAGGCCUGUUGGAGGUGAUAGAGGGCCUCCGAGGGAGACUGAGCACUUCGGCUGAUUCCCAGAGAAAGGUAAUGACAGGCCCCGUCAAUACUCAGCGCUCCAUUUACUACGGACCCCGUCUGCACUACUAACAAGACUUGAGGCUAAUACUCGGAGGACCCAGACCAUGUCCGCUCAGCUCUGACCUCCUCAAACAGCUCCAGGCUAUAUGUGUUGUCGUCGUCCGCAAAGUAGACUAUUCCAGCUUGGCUGCUGUUGGCGUUGAAGGUCUCCCUUAGCCACCGCAGGGCCAGAUUCCUCUGCAUGGUCCCCCUGGGGAUUCUGGGGUCCCGAGUGUCACCCCUCAGCUUAUAGUUCCUGGGCGUCUCUACAUUGAGGUGGGUGUAGUUAAGCCCUGUUUCUCGGAGGAGCCGCGUCACAAGAGGCGUUCUCCUUUGGGAGUCCUCCACCAGGAUCCAGUGCAGGUUUGGAACAUGGAGGAAGGUGUUUGCCAGCCUUGUAAGCUCUGCCUUCUGCACAGGUCGACUAUAUGUGGGGGUGAUGAUGUGGAUGGUAGGCAGCACGUCGGACCAUGGUGGAGGCCGUGUAUACACGUACUCUGUCCUCACCACCUCCACAAUGUCCUUAUCUGAGGCACAGUAUUCCUUGGAGUCCUGCGCCUGGCCACCUGCCUCCCUCCUGCCCUCAACGCCAUCAUCUGCAGAUUUGGGGAUAAGAAGACAUGUGGUGACAGGCUGCAAAAAGUGAAAGCAGGCACCGUGAGAGGAUAACACAGCUGAUGGACAGAGAGACAGCGCAAGGAAAGAGAGGAGGAUUUUCCUGCGGCACAUAGAUUACCACAAUCUGCUGAUGGCCAGAUGUUCAACAGAGGCUGCCAGCGAGCACGCUGCCAAAAAACCUCUAGCUUCUCUUUUAAGAGCACACAAAAGGAAGCUUGUGUGUAGAGGUGGGUCAGAUAGCACUGGCAAAAAAAAUCACUGAAUCCAAAAAGAUAUAAAAAAUGACUGUAUGCAUUUAAUUGACAGGACCUUUUGUAUAAAAAGGGAAUUUUGGAAAGG